This 218-nucleotide non-coding RNA is filed under the name Andreesenella acetica. RNAcentral describes it as "Clostridium aceticum T-box sequence". It matches the Rfam family "T-box leader". From Rfam's summary of the family: Uncharged tRNA acts as the effector for transcription antitermination of genes in the T-box leader family. T-boxes are found upstream of many aminoacyl-tRNA synthetase genes and some amino acid biosynthetic genes usually in Gram-positive bacteria. Lineage: Bacteria; Bacillati; Bacillota; Clostridia; Peptostreptococcales; Natronincolaceae. The record is from RNAcentral.
AUCAAGGCAAAGAAAAGAAAUAGUAAGCAGGUAGCUUUUUUAGAGAGUCGGUGGUAGGUGAGAAUCGAUAAAGUCAACUGUUGAAUCCCUCUUGGAGCCAUGUACUGAAAUAAAGUAGUAGGUAACAUCGGUUUGCAACCGUUAAAAAGCAGUAGAGUGAAUUAAUGUAUAUUAAUUAACUAGGGUGGCAACACGGAAAUAGAGCUUCCGUCCCUUUA